This is a long non-coding RNA of Mya arenaria, 378 nucleotides long. RefSeq lists it as uncharacterized. The transcript has 3 exons. The record is from RefSeq and is a predicted model, not a curated record. NCBI's taxonomy places the organism in Eukaryota, Metazoa, Mollusca, Bivalvia, Myida, Myidae.
CAAGGUGGAUGUUUCGCAACAUCGAUGGUAGUUCGCGAUUUUGCUAGCUUAAAAAAGAGCAAACGGUGGAAAUAUAUUUUAUUCACCACUCAAAUCCCUAAACAUGAACAAGCUAUUCAUCGUUCUUCUUCUCGUCAAAUGCUUACCAAUGAUGUUGCUGCCAGCCACUGUUGAGGCCCAAUCUGAUGGUCGCCGGAACUGCCCUUGCCGGUACAUAUGUAACUAUCUGGUGGAGACCGACGGAGGGCACUGUGCAAUUAACAAGAGGUGCUGUUUUCGGAGGGGAUGGGUUAAUGGCGGAUAAAGGCGAGGGACAAGCGCCAGAACAUUGUUUUAAUCCAUUAAAUUGGUGGUGAAAAUAAAGCGUCGAUGUAAUAA